CUUGAAACACGGACCAAGGAGUUUAUCGUGUACGCAAGUCAUUGGGUGAAUAAAACCCAAAGGCGAAAUGAAAGUAAAGAGUUGAGCAUAAUUUAAAAAAAUUUUUUUUUCUUUUAUGUUCCUCUUAAGGGAAGAUAGAAAUUGCUUUAAUAAUAGUUUUAAACUUGUUUUAUAACUAUUUGUUAAUGUUUAAUUUCUCGCACUCCCAGGGCGCUUGUUUAACGCUUGCGUGGCAAUGCGCACCUAGAGCGUACACGCUGAUACCCGAAAGAUGGUGAACUAUGCCUGGCCAGGACGAAGCCAGGGGAAACCCUGGUGGAGGUCCGCAGCGAUUCUGACGUGCAAAUCGAUCGUCGGAGCUGGGUAUAGGGGCGAAAGACCAAUCGAACCAUCUAGUAGCUGGUUCCCUCUGAAGUUUCCCUCAGGAUA
RNAcentral lists this ribosomal RNA (429 nucleotides) under Apiomerus ochropterus. RNAcentral's name for it is "eukaryotic LSU rRNA". It matches the Rfam family "Eukaryotic large subunit ribosomal RNA", at positions 653 to 980 of the family's 3401-position model. The record is from RNAcentral. Lineage: Eukaryota; Metazoa; Arthropoda; Insecta; Hemiptera; Reduviidae.